UACGAAGGGAGCUAGCGUUGUUCGGAAUUACUGGGCGUAAAGCGCGCGUAGGCGGCUUUGUAAGUUAGAGGUGAAAGCCCGGAGCUCAACUCCGGAACUGCCUUUAAAACUGCAUCGCUUGAAUCCAGGAGAGGUGAGUGGAAUUCCGAGUGUAGAGGUGAAAUUCGUAGAUAUUCGGAAGAACACCAGUGGCGAAGGCGGCUCACUGGACUGGUAUUGACGCUGAGGUGCGAAAGCGUGGGGAGCAAACAGG
RNAcentral lists this ribosomal RNA (253 nucleotides) under uncultured bacterium. Its description in RNAcentral is "partial 16S ribosomal RNA". It matches the Rfam family "Bacterial small subunit ribosomal RNA", at positions 524 to 776 of the family's 1533-position model. The record is from RNAcentral.